This 606-nucleotide ribosomal RNA is filed under the name uncultured bacterium. RNAcentral's name for it is "bacterial SSU rRNA". It matches the Rfam family "Bacterial small subunit ribosomal RNA", at positions 338 to 948 of the family's 1533-position model. The record is from RNAcentral.
CCUACGGGAGGCAGCAGUGAGGAAUAUUGGACAAUGGGCGCAAGCCUGAUCCAGCCAUGCCGUGUGCAGGAAGACGCAUCUAUGGUGUGUAAACUGCUUUUGUACGGGAAGAAACACUCCCUCGUGAGGGAGCUUGACGGUACCGUAAGAAUAAGGAUCGGCUAACUCCGUGCCAGCAGCCGCGGUAAUACGGAGGAUCCAAGCGUUAUCCGGAAUCAUUGGGUUUAAAGGGUCCGUAGGCGGUUUAAUAAGUCAGUGGUGAAAGCCCAUCGCUCAACGAUGGAACGGCCAUUGAUACUGUUAGACUUGAAUUACUAGGAAGUAACUAGAAUAUGUAGUGUAGCGGUGAAAUGCUUAGAUAUUACAUGGAAUACCAAUUGCGAAGGCAGGUUACUACUAGUGGAUUGACGCUGAUGGACGAAAGCGUGGGGAGCGAACAGGAUUAGAUACCCUGGUAGUCCACGCCGUAAACGAUGGAUACUAGCUGUUGGGCGCAAGUUCAGUGGCUAAGCGAAAGUGAUAAGUAUCCCACCUGGGGAGUCGUUCGNAAGAUGAAACUUCAAAGGAUUGACGGNNGAGAGNGCGAGACGACGACGAGGGAGGAGG